This is a non-coding RNA of Pogona vitticeps (central bearded dragon), 549 nucleotides long. NCBI's taxonomy places the organism in Eukaryota, Metazoa, Chordata, Lepidosauria, Squamata, Agamidae. The record is from RefSeq and is a predicted model, not a curated record.
UGGAGCAGGACGAACAGGGACCUUUUGUGCAUUGGGCACUGUCCUGGAAAGGGUCAAGGCUGAAGGGAUUCUGGAUGUCUUUCAGACAGUGAAGAGCUUGAGGUUACAAAGGCCGCAUAUGGUCCAAACACUGGAACAGUAUGAAUUCUGCUACAAGGUGGUUCAGGAAUAUAUUGACGCCUUUUCAGACUACGCCAACUUCAAGUAACGAAAAUCACACAACAGAAGAGUUGCCUUCUUUAAUACUUUGUAAUAUUCUGUUUGUUAAUAUCCCCCUACCCCCCAAAGUGUAUAUAUCUUAACUGUUCUAGAGGGUUGGUACCAUAAGAUUACUAUUAGCUGGAGAUUUUAUAUGUAGCAAAAGUGUUAGAAAGAGAUUGUAGGCACUUUUUUUUCCAAUGUUUUAUUGGAGAAUUAAAUAGCUUGAUAUUUGGAUUAAUACUGUCAAAUCUCUCUCCUGGAGAGUUGAUGUAGGCUGGUUUUGUUUUGUAAAUUUUUUUUUCCUUGAGAGGGAGUAAAGCCUUUAUAAAAACCAAAUGAGAUUCUUCA